This 327-nucleotide ribosomal RNA is filed under the name uncultured eukaryote. Its description in RNAcentral is "partial 18S ribosomal RNA". It matches the Rfam family "Eukaryotic small subunit ribosomal RNA", at positions 1470 to 1796 of the family's 1831-position model. The record is from RNAcentral.
CCCUUAGAUGUUCUCGGCCGCACACGCGCUACACUGAAAGAGGCAACGUGUUUGCCUGAUUCGAAAGAAUUGGGUAACCCCCUAAUCUCUUUCGUGCUGGGGAUUGAGGUUUGCAAUUAUCCUUCAUGAACGAGGAAUUCCCAGUAAGUGCGAGUCAUUAUCUCGCGCUGACUACGUCCCUGCCCUUUGUACACACCGCCCGUCGCCACUACCGAUUGAAUGAUUUAGUGAGGACUUCGGACUGAGUCCAAUGCGGCUUUCGGGCUGCGUUGGUAUUUCGGAAAGAUGUCCAAACUGUAUCAUUUAGAGGAAGUAAAAGUCGUAACA